CCUACGGGUGGCUGCAGUGGGGAAUAUUGCACAAUGGGGGAAACCCUGAUGCAGCGACGCCGCGUGAGUGAAGAAGUAUUUCGGUAUGUAAAGCUCUAUCAGCAGGGAAGAAAAUGACGGUACCUGAUUAAGAAGCCCCGGCUAACUACGUGCCAGCAGCCGUGGUAAUACGUAGGGGGCGAGCGUUAUCCGGAUUUACUGGGUGUAAAGGGAGCGUAGACGGCAGCACAAGGCUGCAGUGAAAUGCCGGGGCUUAACCCCGGAACUGCUUUGGAAACUGGGCAGCUAGAGUGCAGGCGAGGUAGGUGGAAUUCCUGGUGUAGCGGUGAAAUGCGUAGAUAUGAGGAAGAACCCCAGUGGCGAAGGCAGCUUGCUGGACUGUAACUGACGUUGAGGCUCGAAAGCGUGGGGAGCGAACAGGAUUAGAUACCCGAGUAGUC
This 440-nucleotide ribosomal RNA is filed under the name uncultured bacterium. RNAcentral describes it as "partial 16S ribosomal RNA". It matches the Rfam family "Bacterial small subunit ribosomal RNA", at positions 338 to 795 of the family's 1533-position model. The record is from RNAcentral.